This 240-nucleotide ribosomal RNA is filed under the name uncultured bacterium. RNAcentral's name for it is "partial 16S ribosomal RNA". It matches the Rfam family "Bacterial small subunit ribosomal RNA", at positions 91 to 334 of the family's 1533-position model. The record is from RNAcentral.
CGGAGUGGCGAACGGGUGAGUAACAUAUCGGAACGUACCGAGUAAUGGGGGAUAACUAAUCGAAAGAUUAGUUAAUACCGCAUAUUCUCUGAGGAGGAAAGCAGGGGACCUUCGGGCCUUGCGUUAUUCGAGCGGCCGAUAUCUGAUUAGCUAGUUGGUGGGGUAAAGGCCUACCAAGGCGACGAUCAGUAGCGGGUCUGAGAGGAUGAUCCGCCACACUGGGACUGAGACACGGCCCAG